Molecule: long non-coding RNA, 2079 nt
Filed under: Homo sapiens (human)
Lineage: Eukaryota; Metazoa; Chordata; Mammalia; Primates; Hominidae
Description: non-protein coding lnc-TNFAIP2-2:3
Source: RNAcentral
AACGUAAGCAAGAUCAGCAAAGGUUUAUCUCAACUUCAGACUCACUCCCAGAAACUCACUCUUGGGAGCUCUCUGUGGAAUUGGGCCCCCCUUCUUCUGGUAUUAUGUUUUCAAAACUGACAGGGAUAUGAAAGAAAAACUUAUCCAGGAAAGAAAAUUGGGUUGAACAUUUAACAUCUCAUUUAAGUCUUGCAAUAAUGGCUAUAUGUAUUUUUGCUAAAUAAAUCUUCUAUUAAUCUUUUUUUUUUUUAAAGUUUGAGAUGUCUGCAGAAUGGGCAUGUGGUUCAUUAGAGUGACCAAUACCCCGGUGAGUGACAACACUUUGUGUGCGAGGCUGCCGGCCGCCAGGCCCUCUCUCUCGCUCACUGCUUUGGGGGCAUCAUUUUGCACAGCCCCUGUGGAGGGUGAUUUGGGCUUCCGGGUCAGGCUGACAAAUGCAGGAACCUGUGAGGCAGCCAUUCUCCUUCCAGGAAUGUACCUUAUCCAUGCUCUACCAGCUAUGCAAAGCAACUUGAGUGCCAGACUAGUCACUUCAGUUACAGUAGCAACAUACUGGAAACUCCCUAAAUGCCCAUCGGCAGACACCAGGGAAAUCACUGCAGUGCACCCAAACAAUGGAGUACUAUGUGGCGGUGAAAAAGAAUGAGGAAGUUCUCUCUGUUCUCAUGUUGACAUUCAGGACACAUAACGUUAAGUGGAAAAAAGCACAGUGCAGAGCAGAGUUUGUGGUGUGUGUGUGUGUGUCUGAGAGAGAGAGAGAGAGAGAGAGAGAGAGGUGAACAGGGUUGGAUGGGGACAGAAGUUAGGAAGGAGGUAUUUGGCCGUAUAGCUUGUAAAUUUUCAUUAUGAGGCAUGUGAAUGUGUUAUAUUAUUAGCAUUUUAUAACUGAACAUUUAACUGAGAAAAUGAAAGUGGUGUUGCUGGAGAUGGGAGGAGAGAGGAGGAAAAUACUUUAGUGUCUCAGGGGUAGGCUCAACCAGCCAUGUCCAGCGCCUCUUUGAAGUGGGUUCAUCAGCAACCUGUGACUUGGCGUGAAGCCAAGUUCAGCGCUGAGGUGCAGACUGUAAUCACAGGGCUGAGUUUAACCAAGACUCUGGUUUUGUCAGGCGAUCACUAUGGAGGAUGAUAGCUGAGCCGUGGGAGGGGCUUGCCAGGGAGAAGUCAUACCGAUGGGCGAUACCCAUACUGACUGCUGCUAUACCCAGCAGUCCCUGGUCGCCCCCAGAACUCCCAUCCUCUGACCCUGUGCUGCCUUGCAGCCCCUCAGCCCCCCAUGCAUGCCCCCCAUGCAUGCCCCCACCAUCCCUGCAGUGAGACCCCGCAGCCUCCUGAGAUGCCAGGUAAGCCAUGCACAGCCAGGUGCUGUGCCUCAGAACUUGCUGCAAAGCUACUUAUGCAAGGCGGGGGAAGCCGUCCUGGGAGGCUGUGCAGGUGAGCAGCCAAUAAACAAGUGAAAAGAAACCCCCCUCCCUCCUUGUUUGUCUCUCCAGCGCCCUCUACUGACAGUGCACAGCACCGUGCCAGCAGGAGAGAGGGAAAAGUUCCAGAAUCCCCAAGUAGGGCAGUGAAAGAUGGGCUUGGGUCAGAGGCAGUAGAUGGAUAGCAGGCAGUUGCUUUCCAUAUGCACCCUUUUACACACGUUUAACCUUUUCUAAAAAUUCCAGUAAAUGCAAUACAUGUAUCCUUCCCACAAGUGAAGAUGCACUCACGCUGUCUCCAAAAUGAGGAGACAGUGAGGACAAGGUGCCAAUGGUUACUGUAGCCACUGUUGGCUCUGUUAAUUACACCACAAAUUCAACCACAGUCCACUGAAUAUCUUGUUACCUGAAGACUGAAUGGUAACACUAACCUCCAAAAAAUUGUGUGUACAAUACAGAUGCCAGCGAGAGAAAACAGGAAAAUGGUUGGCAUGUGGAAACAAACACGUGAAAACAAGCAAAGGAAACUAAGCAAAACUACUACACUCCUUGCUUCCGUGACAGUUGGGAGCCGAGGCUUGAAGUCCAUGGUUCCUUCUCCCAUCACUCAUCCUGGAUUUUCCCCUCCCUCAGCCGGGACCUCAGCUAGUUGGUGAUCUUU